RNAcentral lists this ribosomal RNA (273 nucleotides) under uncultured bacterium. Its description in RNAcentral is "partial 16S ribosomal RNA". It matches the Rfam family "Bacterial small subunit ribosomal RNA", at positions 524 to 796 of the family's 1533-position model. The record is from RNAcentral.
UACGUAGGGUGCAAGCGUUAAUCGGAAUUACUGGGCGUAAAGCGUGCGCAGGCGGUUUUGUAAGUCUGAUGUGAAAGCCCCGGGCUCAACCUGGGAAUUGCAUUGGAGACUGCAAGGCUUGAAUCUGGCAGAGGGGGGUAGAAUUCCACGCGUAGCAGUGAAAUGCGUAGAGAUGUGGAGGAACACCGAUGGCGAAGGCAGCCCCCUGGGUCAAGAUUGACGCUCAUGCACGAAAGCGUGGGGAGCAAACAGGAUUAGAAACCCCCGUAGUCC